Molecule: ribosomal RNA, 609 nt
Filed under: Salmonella enterica
Lineage: Bacteria; Pseudomonadati; Pseudomonadota; Gammaproteobacteria; Enterobacterales; Enterobacteriaceae
Description: partial 23S ribosomal RNA
Rfam family: Bacterial large subunit ribosomal RNA
Source: RNAcentral
AGACCCGAAACCCGGUGAUCUAGCCAUGGGCAGGUUGAAGGUUGGGUAACACUAACUGGAGGACCGAACCGACUAAUGUUGAAAAAUUAGCGGAUGACCUGUGGCUGGGGGUGAAAGGCCAAUCAAACCGGGAGAUAGCUGGUUCUCCCCGAAAGCUAUUUAGGUAGCGCCUCGUGAAUUCAUCUCCGGGGGUAGAGCACUGUUUCGGCUAGGGGGCCAUCCCGGCUUACCAACCCGAUGCAAACUGCGAAUACCGGAGAAUGUUAUCACGGGAGACACACGGCGGGUGCUAACGUCCGUCGUGAAGAGGGAAACAACCCAGACCGCCAGCUAAGGUCCCAAAGUCAUGGUUAAGUGGGAAACGAUGUGGGAAGGCCCAGACAGCCAGGAUGUUGGCUUAGAAGCAGCCAUCAUUUAAAGAAAGCGUAAUAGCUCACUGGUCGAGUCGGCCUGCGCGGAAGAUGUAACGGGGCUAAACCAUGCACCGAAGCUGCGGCAGCGACACUCAGGUGUUGUUGGGUAGGGGAGCGUUCUGUAAGUCUGCGAAGGUGGCCUGUGAGGGUUGCUGGAGGUAUCAGAAGUGCGAAUGCUGACAUAAGUAACGAUAAA